GCCUCACUGUCCAUCCUGAUAAAAUCACCAUAGCAACAGGACAAGUGGCUGGCACAUCCUCAGAUGGAAAACAGUUGGCUCCUCACGUGCGAGUGUGGGACUCUGUGAGUUUGAACACGUUGCACAUCCUUGGAACUGGUUUCUUUGAUCGAGCGCUGGUUUGCCUCUCCUUCUCAAAGUCGAAUGGAGGAAGCUGGUUGUGUGUUGUGGACGACUCCAAUGACCACAUUCUCUCUGUGUGGGACUGGCAGAGGGAGGAAAGACUUGCUGAA
Long non-coding RNA from Sinocyclocheilus anshuiensis, 272 nucleotides. RefSeq lists it as uncharacterized. The transcript has 3 exons. NCBI's taxonomy places the organism in Eukaryota, Metazoa, Chordata, Actinopteri, Cypriniformes, Cyprinidae. The record is from RefSeq and is a predicted model, not a curated record.